AAACCAACAGGGAUUGCCUCAGUAACGGCGAGCGAAGCGGCAAAAGCUCAAAUUUGAAAGCUAGCGUCUUUUGGCGUUCGCGUUGUAAUUUGAAGAUGGCAACUUUGGAGACGGCCUUGGCAUAUGUUCCUUGGAACAGGACGUCAUAGAGGGUGAGAAUCCCGUACGUGGCCUUGUCACCGUCUCUUUGUAAAGUGCUUUCUAAGAGUCGAGUUGUUUGGGAAUGCAGCUCUAAGUGGGUGGUAAAUUCCAUCUAAGGCUAAAUAUAGGCGAGAGACCGAUAGCGAACAAGUACAGUGAUGGAAAGAUGAAAAGAACUUUGAAAAGAGAGUGAAAAAGUACGUGAAAUUGUUGAAAGGGAAGGGCUUGAGAUCAGACUUGGUUUGUAACGAUCAACUUUGUCUUUCGGGACUUGUGCACUCGCCACUUACUAGGCCAGCAUCAGUUCCGGCGGUGAGAUAAUGGUAGUGGAAUGUGACUUUGCUUCGGUAGAGUGUUAUAGCCACAUGCUGAUGUCACCAGCUGGGACUGAGGACCGCGUCUUUGACUAGGAUGCUGGCGUAAUGAUCUUAAGCCAC
This is a ribosomal RNA of 578 nucleotides. It matches the Rfam family "Eukaryotic large subunit ribosomal RNA", at positions 62 to 648 of the family's 3401-position model.